GUACAAAGAGAAACGCGACGGAAAGUCCGAAAAAUUUCCUCCGAAGGCAGAGGUCACAGGUUCGAAUCCUGUCGGGUGCGCCA
RNAcentral lists this transfer RNA (83 nucleotides) under Aminobacter ciceronei. Its description in RNAcentral is "tRNA-Arg". The record is from RNAcentral. Lineage: Bacteria; Pseudomonadati; Pseudomonadota; Alphaproteobacteria; Hyphomicrobiales; Phyllobacteriaceae.